UUUCUGCCUCCAAUAGUAGAUUUCUCCAGGUAUGCAAUGUAGGGCAGAUCAGAAUUCCUAAGUAUCUUUUUCACUUCUUCAGCAUAUUCCGUUGUGUAGUUUCUUGCUGGGCUAUGCUGUAAAGAACAAUUCUACCUGUCCUAGCUUGCUGGGACUGGAAUACAGCUGUAUUCUUCUUAAAGAAGAAAAAAAUUUCAUCUCAUUUUACUGGAAUACUUUAAGUGGACCACAAUUACACUGGGUAGAAAAAGGGAAGAAGAUAAAAAAAGCAAGUAAAACAAAAGAAUCAAAAUUUCAUUUAUUCUAAAGCCAUUUUUUUCUUUUAUUAUCUAGUUGCUGAGCUGAAAAAUCAUUAUUUGUACUGACGAGGGCUCCUGUACUCCCAUUAUCCCAUCACAGCUCAAAUUAUCAUUCCCUACUGUAGAAAUUAUUUCUUCUUGCAAGCGAUUCUUGAUUGCUGGACUCAAGGAUCAUUCUACUGUCAAAAAGGUCCAAGAAAUUUGAUCUACUUUAAGAGCACUAGAAAGAUGCCUUAUCCAUCUAAAAGAUUGGCUGAAGUUAGUAAUACAGCUCAUACAAGCUCUCUGGCCACAUUCGGUGACUACAUUUCUCUUUAUUUUGCAGCUUCAGGGGUAUAGAUACAAUAAGCACAUUUCUAGCACUGCACAAAUUUCAUUUUCAGUACUAGAUCAUAAACACCCAAAAUAGGUCACAGUAAAGACUUCCRAAAGCAACAUACAAACAAACUCUGUUGCAAAGGGAUCAAUCUUUCAGCACAAUGAAUUCAAACUACAUCAAUGUGGUUGUAUUCUUCUCUGGAAUACUACGUUGUUGGUUUUUUUAGAACUAUUCCACUUUGAGACAUGACAGAACAAAAUUACAAAAGCAUUUGCGAAUGUCAUGAUCCAGUAAAUUAUAGUGCAGUGGGCAGAUACUUGACUCCACUUUCUGACAUCAGAGUCUCCUCAGCCAGAUGAGUUCACAGGCCUAAAGUAAAACCAUAGAACUUUUCUCCAAUUUGCACCUAAAGACAGCAGACUUCUCCCAAUAUCCACCUGAUUUACGUUUACAGAUGCAUUUUGCAGUCGCUGUUUGGAGCUCRUACGUGCAAACAACUGUGUGAUCAUAAACAAAGGCAUGCAGGGCURGGCAAUUUCACGGACUGGCAAAAGCAGUUCCUCUGUGUAUUUCAGAGGCUAACACACAUGGACUUCUACACGCGCAACAGUAUACAACAGCCUUAAUUUGUAUACAACAAAUUUGUAUACAACAGUCUUAAUUUUAGAGAUUUUGGAAGUGUGAGAGUAUGUUACAUGCUAAGUAGCAAAAAUUGUCCCUCCCUGCAAAGAAUCGUGCAACAAAACAUCCRUUGCUUAACUCUGAAAGGAUGUCCUUGCUCUUUUACUCAUUUUUGCCAUUUUUCACUUUAGUUUCAUUAAUCACAUCUUCCCUCAACUUUUUUUUUAAAACUAUACCUUGUGGCUGAAUCCAAAACUAGAAGAAUUAUCAUCAUUACACGUUUCUCUCUGUGACUCAAAAGGGAGCAGUGGUAGAACACGCAGGCAUAGCAGUAGGAUGACCCCAGAAGGGAUUCCCUGAUCCAUAUUACUAAGGAACUUGGGAAGGCACACGGGAGGG
Molecule: long non-coding RNA, 1638 nt
Organism: Apteryx rowi (Okarito brown kiwi)
Lineage: Eukaryota; Metazoa; Chordata; Aves; Apterygiformes; Apterygidae
Source: Ensembl